AUUGCAUGUUGAUUGAAUGACAAGCUCGUGACCCGUCCUUUUUAGCAGGGUUACAUGAGGCUGUGCUCUGCACCCGGGACUUUUGAGCAUAUAAAAUCAUUGACCAGACCACCGGAUUUCUCAUAUCUAUCCCUAAAAAUCCACACACCACUGGCAAAAGGGUUAAAGGCUUUGCCUGGAAAACCACUUAAAGUUAAGGAAUUUAUUUUGAUGUGUGUCUAGGCCUCAGCUAUUUUCCCUCAUGGUGCUCAACCUUGGUGGCUCCCCCUACCCCCCCAUCCUACCCCAAAGGCUAUCAUCUCUCCACUGGCAGCUGGGCAGCAUGCCAGGGGGGUGUCGUCCCUCCCUGGCUGCCUCCAACCUUCAUCUCCUUUUGCCUCUGAGCCCUGCCGUGGUUAACUCUUCUUUAAAUAUGGUCCUUUCGUUGCAGAAUGAGCUACAGUGGUUUUCUUUGUCUUCAAAGACUCAACAUUGGGACUCUGAGGAUCUUCAAACAGAAUUUUGUUCUUUUUCUUUUUUUUUUUUUUUGAAGAUGGGAGAAAACAUCGAUUCCCUUUUUUUUAUAAGUUAUGAAGAAGAUAGUUAGCCAAUCAUGUUUGAAAUGUAUGUUGUUGUGAUCAUCAGCUGGAUGGCCGUGGCAGAUGGGUAACUAUGGAGUAAAGGGUGGUGAGUCUCAUGGUUAGCGUCUUUAUUGCUCUAGUGCUAGCCACAGCAGGGUUCCCUCAGUGCUUAUCAUGUUUCAGAGCUGCACAUGGGGAAAAGGACCUCUCCUCUCAGUCAUCACCAGUGUCGUUUUCAAGCUCACGAGGGAAUUCUGCUUCGGCAUCUACAGUUAAAGUGACUCCUUUAACUGCCUAAGGCAGAUCAGCGCUACACGCCUCACAGGGGUAUACGGCCACGGCAAGAGACAAAGCAAACCUGACUUGACUGCUUGAGGAGCGCAUCCAAAGAGGAUUUGAAAUUCAAUUCCCAAACUGUGUAAAAGAAAGACCAUGGGCUGGUGAGACGGCUCAGUUGGUAAAGGGGCUUGCCACCAAGUCUGACAACCUGAAGUUUGAUCUGCAGGGCUCUCCUGGCUCAUCUACCAUGACUAAGAAUGAAUGGUGGGGAGAGCUGCUUUAGCUGUGACUUCAAAGUGUGGGAUGAUGUCACAGGUGAGGCAGGUACAAGAUAGAAUGAGGCCUGUCAUUGGACGAGAAGGAAGGAUGGGCGGGAGACAACAGUGCGGACGUUCUGUGGCAGUUGGUGAUACUGAGUUCGUUGUCAGGAAGUUGAGAGAGACAGAGGCUGGUUCUUCGCUCACCCCUUCCUUUUCCCAUUUUCAUUUGGUCCAAGACCCAAGCCUGUGAGAUGGCGCCAUCCGUAUUGAGGAGAUUUCACUUCAAAUUCCAGUGCCAACACCGACGAAACGCAAGUGUGCAGUAGCCAUUCUCAGGAGAAACGGUUCUAAAGGUGCUUUACCUGCUUUGUCUUUUCGCCAAUAACCAUUCUGCUGCAAUGUCAGACGGACCAAGCUAUUUUCUCAGGAUUUUCUGCAGGACUUGUAUUCACAUUCCUUCUGUGUAACCUUUCUUCUUUGAUUGCUGCUUUUUUCUUUUCUUAAAAAAAAAAAGGUGUAUUUUUCGUUCAUGUGUA
Molecule: long non-coding RNA, 1635 nt
Organism: Rattus norvegicus (Norway rat)
Lineage: Eukaryota; Metazoa; Chordata; Mammalia; Rodentia; Muridae
Source: RefSeq, a predicted model, not a curated record